Lacerta agilis (Sand lizard) is the source of this 1394-nucleotide long non-coding RNA. RefSeq lists it as uncharacterized. The transcript has 2 exons. The record is from RefSeq and is a predicted model, not a curated record. Lineage: Eukaryota; Metazoa; Chordata; Lepidosauria; Squamata; Lacertidae.
CCCCCGUUUCUUGGGAGCAAUGUGUGCGCAUUGAGAAGCAGCAAAUUCUUCCUUCAUGGGUGGCAAUAGCUAACAAGAAGAUUCCAGCACUCCUCCUUACUCAUAAUCUGUGGCUAUGUUUUCUUGGCCUUCUCUUCUAUUGCGCGGAGUUGCAGCCUUGCCCACAGAAGUGCAAGAGCCUUCAAACUGGUAGAGCGAGGAAGCAAAAAAAGAAAGAUGCACCUUAGGCCUUUUGAUUUGCAUGUGCAAAUAAGGAUGUGCAUACAGUAUUUGAGUUCCCCUCUUAUGGGAACCACAUGCAGGUGUUGCUAACAUGUAAGAUUCCAACAUGAACCUACUAGGUAGAAGAAAUUCAUUAGCACAUGUGACUGACACUGUGAAACUGGGUUUCAACAGAUCCUGGGUAUUCAUUGCUCACUAUAGAAAGUAAUCAUUCCUCCUUAGGCAUCCCUCCCAUUAUUGAUUUUCUUAUGACUAUACAUCACUAGCAGCUGCCAGUCACACCCAUGUUAAAUGGAUCUUGAUUGGAUUCGGCAUUCAUGCAUGUCCUGCAUAGUACAGCUUGUAUUGUUUGGCCUUUUGACCUCCUGCUGUAAAAUUUGGAACACUUUCCCCUCAUUUAUUUCUUUGCACUCAGGGUGCAUGUGUAUGAUACAUGCACACUUUUAGGUGACCACUUCAUGCAUCUGCCAAAGCGGGCUCUGUGCUGACUUUGGCAGUUUGUCUGAACCAAAAUCCAGAAUUAAAGCAAAGGACUUAUUAUCUCCAAAUAAGAAAUAUAUGUAGAAACCUCAAACUAAGGAUAAGGGGAGUUAUCACACUUUUCCAACAUGCCAGGGUUAAAAUAAAUCCUGAAAGUAAAAUGCCACAGAGGAAGUUACCGAAAAAGUCUGAAUUAGCAUUUCUCUUAACUGAAUGUCGUCAUCCAUCUUUUCAGAGCAACUGUUUCUUGUCUCACGAGACCUUGAACAAAUGGCAUGAAGCAUAAUAUACGUCAGCUGGGGCCAAGCCUCUACCAUGCUCUCUUUUUUUAUUUUUGCAUUGCAUUGUGUUAAUGAUGCAUAAAUAAAUAUGCACUCCUUAGUUGUGGUCCAAUAGCUUACAGGUUUCCCAGAAGGCUGCAGUGUGGAGCAAACGGCCCAUUACUGCUGAAGAGAUAAUAACAGCAUCUACUCUGUGUGAUAGUUUAAACCAUCUAGUUUGUCUGGUGUGAUCAUUCUGGACUAUCCCUUAUCAAACAAAUAGUUGUGAUGAAUCCAAAGCUAAAUAUUAGGCAAAUACUGUACAACAUUAUACAUAGGCAUGUAGGCUUAAACUGAAUUGCCCUCUUUCUUCUGCUUCCUCCGGUUGUCAUCUUAGCUUCUUUCUGACUCACAAUAAACUUUGUGAAAUUG